RNAcentral lists this ribosomal RNA (479 nucleotides) under uncultured bacterium. Its description in RNAcentral is "bacterial SSU rRNA". It matches the Rfam family "Bacterial small subunit ribosomal RNA", at positions 335 to 801 of the family's 1533-position model. The record is from RNAcentral.
ACUCCUACGGGAGGCAGCAGUGGGAAUAUUGCACAAUGGGGCAGCCAAGCCUGAUGCAGCCAUGCCGCGUGUGUAGAAGAAGGCCUUCGGGUUGAUAAAGCACUUUCAGUAAGGGAGGAAAGGUUAGUAGUUAAUACCUGCUAGCUGUUGACGUUACUUACAGAAGAAGCACCGGCUAACUCCGUGCCAGCAGCCGCGGUAAUACGGAGGGUGCGAGCGUUAAUCGGAAUUACUGGGCGUAAAGCGUACGCAGGCGGCUUUGUUAAGCGAGAUGUGAAAGCCCCGGGCUCAACCUGGAGCUGCAUUUACGAACUGGCAAAGCUAGAGUACUGUAGAGGGGGGUAAAUUUCAGGUGUAGCGUGAAAUGCGUAGAGAUCUGAAGGAAUACCGGUGGCGAAGGCGGCCCCCUGGACAGAUACUGACACUCAGAUGCGAAAGCGUGGGAGCAAACAGGAUUAGAUACCCUGGUAGGCACUGCU